This is a long non-coding RNA of Pogoniulus pusillus (Red-fronted tinkerbird), 482 nucleotides long. RefSeq lists it as uncharacterized. The record is from RefSeq and is a predicted model, not a curated record. The transcript has 3 exons. Lineage: Eukaryota; Metazoa; Chordata; Aves; Piciformes; Lybiidae.
GGGUGCAAUCCAAGCUGGAACCGAGUGAGAGGCUCCUGCUGAUAACCAGUGGGGGAAGCUUUUGGAGCAGACAGACUUCUCUGUUACAGCUUGUGGUGUGGAGCAGCAGGUGAUCUGUGCAGCAAAAGGGAAAGUGGGACUCAGAGCGACCCUCAACCAGCAGUUUAAGCACUGCAGCCCUUGGAUGCUCCUCUCCCCAUACCCGCAGCGAGCACAGCGCAGGGCACAGCUCGCCCGGAGACGUUCAUGCGGGUCCCAAGAGGAGGUGUUGUACUCUGCCUAGUUCAAAGUAUUUGGUUUCUCCCUGAGCUACUCUUAAUCUGCUCUCUGGUUUCUGCUGCAAACUGUUAACAGGCCAAAAGGCAUGUGGGACAAGAGGUACUUUAUCAGUGCAAUUAAAAAAAAUACCCAUGGUUAAAAUAAAUAGUUAAGAGACUGAGCUGUGCUUUCCAGCUCCAUUAAAGACUGAAGUGCCCCUGCCA